GUGUCAGCCGCCGCGGUAAUACGGAGGGUGCAAGCGUUAUCCGGAUUUACUGGGUUUAAAGGGUGCGUAGGCGGCCUUGUAAGUCCGUGUUGAAAGGCUACGGCUUAACCGUAGUAAGGCAUGGAUACUGCGAGGCUUGAGUACAGUGGGGCAGAUGGAAUUGGUGGAGUAGCGGUGAAAUGCAUAGAUACCACCAGGAACACCGAUAGCGAAGGCAGUCUGCUACGCUGUAACUGACGCUGAGGCACGAAAGCGUGGGGAGCAAACAGGAUUAGAUACCCUGGUAGUCCACGCCGUAAACGAUGGAUACUCGGUGUCAGCCCUUGUGGGUUGGUGCCUAAGCGAAAGCGAUAAGUAUCCCACCUGGGGAGUACGUCGGCAACGAUGAAACUCAAAUGAAUUGACGGGG
RNAcentral lists this ribosomal RNA (409 nucleotides) under uncultured prokaryote. RNAcentral describes it as "bacterial SSU rRNA". It matches the Rfam family "Bacterial small subunit ribosomal RNA", at positions 505 to 918 of the family's 1533-position model. The record is from RNAcentral.